Molecule: ribosomal RNA, 253 nt
Filed under: uncultured bacterium
Lineage: Bacteria
Description: partial 16S ribosomal RNA
Rfam family: Bacterial small subunit ribosomal RNA
Source: RNAcentral
UACGGGGGGGGCGAGCGUUGUUCGGAAUUAUUGGGCGUAAAGGGAGCGUAGGCGGUGUGGUAAGACUGGUGUGAAACCUUCAGGCUUAACUUGGAGCUUGCAUCAGUGACUGCCGUGCUAGAGUGCGGGAGAGGAUAGUGGAAUUCCCGGUGUAGCGGUGAAAUGCGUAGAUAUCGGGAGGAACAUCGGUGGCGAAGGCGGCUAUCUGGACCGCAACUGACGCUGAGGCUCGAAAGCCAGGGGAGCAAACAGG